This 72-nucleotide transfer RNA is filed under the name Psilorhynchus sucatio (river stone carp). RNAcentral's name for it is "tRNA-Val". It matches the Rfam family "tRNA". Rfam says of the family: Transfer RNA (tRNA) molecules are approximately 80 nucleotides in length. Their secondary structure includes four short double-helical elements and three loops (D, anti-codon, and T loops). Further hydrogen bonds mediate the characteristic L-shaped molecular structure. tRNAs have two regions of fundamental functional importance: the anti-codon, which is responsible for specific mRNA codon recognition, and the 3' end, to which the tRNAs corresponding amino acid is attached (by aminoacyl-tRNA synthetases). tRNAs cope with the degeneracy of the genetic code in two manners: having more than one tRNA (with a specific anti-codon) for a particular amino acid; and 'wobble' base-pairing, i.e. permitting non-standard base-pairing at the 3rd anti-codon position. Lineage: Eukaryota; Metazoa; Chordata; Actinopteri; Cypriniformes; Psilorhynchidae. The record is from RNAcentral.
CAGGAUAUGGCUGAGCCAGUUAAGCAUCUCACUUACACCGAGAAGACAUCCAUGCAAGUUGGAUUAUCCUGA